This 119-nucleotide ribosomal RNA is filed under the name Pteropus alecto (black flying fox). The record is from RNAcentral. Lineage: Eukaryota; Metazoa; Chordata; Mammalia; Chiroptera; Pteropodidae.
GUCUACAGCCAUACCACCCUGAACAAGCCCGAUCCUGUCUGAUCUCGGAAGCUAAGCAAGGUCGGGCCUGGUUAGUAUUUAGAUGGGAGACCACUUAGGAAGACCAGGUGCUAUAGGUG